AGAGAAUAAAAAACCUUAGGAGCAAAUUGACCAUCAUACAGAAACUGUUAAGCAAGUGCCAUCAAGGCCAGCAGUACCCAUAUUAUAUGUCCAGAGAAGAGCCAGGCCAGAUGGGAACUGCGUGAAAGCAACCAGUUAUCUUGCUAAUUAUGCCAGCUAGAACCAGUUGUAUUGCAUUAAAAAAUGUGGAAUCCAACAACUUAGCUGUUCACACUCAAUUAGCAGUGUGCUGGAGAAUGGAAAACUCAAGCAAGGAGUCCAUGUGCUCCAGGAAGUGACAGCUGCUUCCUUACCCAGCAUUUAAUAUCCAUGUAAAAUUUUUUCAAUAAACGUUGUGAUAAUUU
Homo sapiens (human) is the source of this 344-nucleotide long non-coding RNA. RefSeq lists it as uncharacterized. Lineage: Eukaryota; Metazoa; Chordata; Mammalia; Primates; Hominidae. The transcript has 2 exons. The record is from RefSeq and is a predicted model, not a curated record.